Non-coding RNA from Paramuricea clavata, 108 nucleotides. Lineage: Eukaryota; Metazoa; Cnidaria; Anthozoa; Malacalcyonacea; Plexauridae. The record is from the annotation of a GenBank genome assembly.
CCACGUAAUUUUAUUACUGCAAAGCUUUCGAUCGUAUUAUUAGCACUGAUGAAGAUCCGGGCUUACGGAUCGAAAGCUUUGCAGUAAUAAAUUUACGUGGUGUUUCCA